AUCAUGUUUAUCUGCUCAAGCUAUUAAAAUUUCCGUGAACAACAUGGAUUAUUUCGUUUUAUGAUCGUUUUAUUUAGUAGGGUUUAAUAGAUUUCUUCAAAUCAAUGUUGAUAUUUUAAAUUGCCUAAAUCCAAACAUCCUUUAACGAGAUCCAAUUAUUUAAGAGUGGUUACUCAAUCAAUUGUCUUUAUUUUAAUCUCGCCAAAUAGCUAUCCAGAAUUGUGGAACUUCUGAGACACCUUCUCUAAUGAUUCACUAUCCACAAGUAAAAAACUAAUAUAAUGUUUUGUUUUUGAUAAUCUAAUACACUGU
Cinara cedri is the source of this 312-nucleotide non-coding RNA. The record is from the annotation of a GenBank genome assembly. Lineage: Eukaryota; Metazoa; Arthropoda; Insecta; Hemiptera; Aphididae.